UACAGAGGUGGCAAGCGUUGUUCGGAAUUACUGGGCGUAAAGGGCGCGUAGGCGGCCUUCUAAGUCAGACGUGAAAUCUCCCGGCUUAACCUGGGAACUGCGUCUGAUACUGGGAGGCUUGAGUAUGGGAGAGGGAUGUAGAAUUCCAGGUGUAGCGGUGAAAUGCGUAGAUAUCUGGAGGAAUACCGGUGGCGAAGGCGGCAUCCUGGACCAUAACUGACGCUGAGGCGCGAAAGCUAGGGGAGCAAACGGG
This 253-nucleotide ribosomal RNA is filed under the name uncultured bacterium. RNAcentral's name for it is "partial 16S ribosomal RNA". It matches the Rfam family "Bacterial small subunit ribosomal RNA", at positions 524 to 776 of the family's 1533-position model. The record is from RNAcentral.